Molecule: long non-coding RNA, 1879 nt
Organism: Ostrinia furnacalis (Asian corn borer)
Lineage: Eukaryota; Metazoa; Arthropoda; Insecta; Lepidoptera; Crambidae
Exons: 2
Source: RefSeq, a predicted model, not a curated record
GUAGCUAGGGGUCAUUGGACAAAAUUCUACGUGCUCACGGACCGGGCUUUACUUUGUAUUAAAUAUCUCAAUGUCUCUUCCAAAUUUUUUGGUCAAUUUUGUGAUUUUGUAGUAAUUAUUCCAACAAUGUUAAUACAAUGAAGUGCAUACAGUCGACUCCAGGUUAAACUACUUAUAAGUUUUUGUGGCAAAAAUUACACCUUGUAUUACAAUAAUUGACGGUAGUUGUAAUAUAAUAGUGUCACUCUCGGAACUAAAAUCACAAUAUAGCAAUAAACUAAGAGCUUCAAAGUAAUAAAGCAUGUUAAAAUCAUACCACUAGACUAAAUGUACGCUAUAAAAUUGAAAAUCAAACUAGAUAAAAAUUGGCAAUACCUAGAUAGAUACAAGUAAACUAGCUUCUAAGAUACAAAACAAAUUCGGAAUUCAUUGCCUUAAUAAAUUAUGAUUUAUACUAAAAUUUUAUUAAUAAUUGUCAAUUUACCUUCACGAGAGCAUUUAUUGCAUAAUAUUGUCUAAAAAGUAAGUUAUGGAGUAAAAAAAUGCCUUACCUCGUCUGCCGAAUCCAUCCACACAUAAUCAAAACUUACCUGCACAUUCACUGUCACUUUUAUCUUUCCACCACUGGCAACACUAUUGACUAAAUGACGUAGAUACAUGUCAGUGUUGCUAGUAGAAAAAUCUACUAAAAUAGUAGAAAUCACUUUAAUUAGUACACAAUACAACGUUGUACUAAAUAUGUUAUUAAAUUAACCUUAUUCUAUGUCAAACACUUUUCAAUAUUAUAAUAAUGUUAGAUUGUACGAAGAGAUAUAAAAGUACGUGUGAUGUAUGGAAAGACUGUAAUGUAAUGAGAAUUUAAGGUUUUAAUUUAUAUGUCAUUUUAUUGGGUACAAGCAUAUGAGACACAUUUUUCUUGUUCUAAUCGUUCAUUUAAUAUAGAAAAUAUUAUAUGUUAAUGAAAACAAGAUAAAAUAAUGUUGAAUAAAAUAAUAUUGUUUUAUCGAAGAAUGCUGUUUCUUUGAAAAGUUUAUCUGAAAACUGUAAGCCUACAUUCGAAUUGAAUAAUAACUACUGCAAAUGUAUAAAAAGUUGUAUAAUUUACUUGCAUUUUAAAUAUUGAAAAGAUGCGAAAAAAUCUGUAUUUAAUAGAAGUGAGAAUGGGUUUGAUUGACUUGAUAUUAUGAUUUUCCAUCCAUUUUACCAGUCACCUUAUUUCCUUGUGGUAGUUCUCAUAAUAACACGCCACAAAUCCAUAAUAACGAAACUACUUCAUGCAACUCUAAGCUCACUUCGUUUAAGUCUGUAGAAUAAGUGGGAACUAUAUUUACGAGCAAAAGUAUAAUAAAAAAGUAUGGAAUCACCUCGUUGUGUUUAAUUCCAAACCAUCUUAAGAACUGAAUGACUUUAGUUUUAUCUAUAGUAUCAAUUUAAAGUAUAAAAUAUUACCUGUAAAAUGGUACCAUUUUUAUUUAACUUCUAUUAGUAAUUUAGUUCUUACUAUCGCUCGGAACAAGUAGGGUGCUUCCAUACUUUUGCUCGCGAGUGUACAUAAAUAAAUAUCCUUGGACAUUUUACACUACGCUUCUAGUCCCAAACUAAGCAAAACUUGUACUAUGGGUACUAGACAACAUGCCUUGUGUUUUUCGAACUUCCAUCAUUACCUUUCGUUUCGGUUUUGGCUAACUUUUCUACGAACGCGCCUUGCUGGAAUGCGACUCUCCCUCCCACUUACCCGUAUUUGUCCCGUCCGCAACAGAGCGUCGAUGUGACGUCACGGCUGCCAGGUCAGUUAACUUGAUCGAGUUAACAAUGUUUAAAAAAUAAAACUCAAGUCCAUGCAUCCCAUUCUCCUUUCUACAUCAUGUUAUAGCCUGAC